UACGUAGGGUGCGAGCGUUGCCCGGAUUUACUGGGCGUAAAGCGUGCGCAGGCGGUUUUGUAAGACUGUCGUGAAGUCCCCGGGCUUAACCUGGGAAUGGCGAUGGUGACUGCAAGGCUAGAGUUUGGCAGAGGGGGGUAGAAUUCCACGUGUAGCAGUGAAAUGCGUAGAUAUGUGGAGGAACACCGAUGGCGAAGGCAGCCCCCUGGGCUGAGAUUGACGCUCAGGCACGAAAGCGUGGGGAGCAAACAGG
This 253-nucleotide ribosomal RNA is filed under the name uncultured bacterium. RNAcentral describes it as "partial 16S ribosomal RNA". It matches the Rfam family "Bacterial small subunit ribosomal RNA", at positions 524 to 776 of the family's 1533-position model. The record is from RNAcentral.